UCCCAUGCGGUCUAGUGGUUAGGCUUUCACCGAGGCGGCCCGGGUUCGAUUCCCGGCUUGGGAA
Non-coding RNA from Trichonephila inaurata madagascariensis, 64 nucleotides. NCBI's taxonomy places the organism in Eukaryota, Metazoa, Arthropoda, Arachnida, Araneae, Nephilidae. The record is from the annotation of a GenBank genome assembly.